RNAcentral lists this ribosomal RNA (287 nucleotides) under uncultured archaeon. Its description in RNAcentral is "partial 16S ribosomal RNA". The record is from RNAcentral.
AAGUUUCAAUCUUGCGACCGUACUUCCCAGGCGGCAGACUUAACGGCUUCCCUGCGGCACUGCAUUGGCAAGAAGCCAAUGCAUCACCGAGUCUGCAUCGUUUACAGCUGGGACUACCCGGGUAUCUAAUCCGGUUUGCUCCCCCAGCUUUCAUCCCUCACUGUCGAACGUGUUCUGGCAGACCGCCUUCGCCACUGGUGGUCUUCAAAGGAUCAGAGGAUUUUACCCCUACCCCCCGAGUACCGUCUGCCUCUCCCACUCCCUAAUCUUGUAGUAUCUCCAGCGGC